AUACGUAGGUGACAAGCGUUAUCCGGAUUUACUGGGCGUAAAGGGCGUGUAGGCGGUCUUGCAAGUCAGAAGUGAAAUUCCUGAGCUCAACUCGGGCGCUGCUUCUGAAACUGCAGGACUUGAGUGCUGGAGGGGAUAGCGGAAUUCCUAGUGGAGCGGUAAAAUGGGCAGAUAUUAGGAAGAACACCGGUGGCGAAGGCGGCUAUCUGGCCAGUAACGGACGCUGAGGCGCGAAAGCGUGGGGAGCAAACAGGAUUAGAUACCCUUGUAGUCCACGCCGUAAACGAUGAAUACUAGGUGUAGGGGGUAUCGACUCCCUCUGUGCCGCAGUUAACACAAUAAGUAUUCCGCCUGGGGAGUACGGCCGCAAGGUUGAAACUCAAAGGAAUUGACGGGG
Molecule: ribosomal RNA, 397 nt
Filed under: uncultured bacterium
Lineage: Bacteria
Description: partial 16S ribosomal RNA
Rfam family: Bacterial small subunit ribosomal RNA
Source: RNAcentral